CCUACGGGUGGCAGCAGUGAGGAAUAUUGGUCAAUGGGCUUACGCCUGAACCAGCCAAGUCGCGUGAGGGAAGACUGCCCUAUGGGUUGUAAACCUCUUUUGUCGGGGAGCAAAAGCCGGACGUGUCCGGCUGUGAGAGUACCCGAAGAAAAAGCAUCGGCUAACUCCGUGCCAGCAGCCGCGGUAAUACGGAGGAUGCGAGCGUUAUCCGGAUUUAUUGGGUUUAAAGGGUGCGCAGGCGGAUUUUUAAGUCAGCGGUCAAAUCGUGGGGCUCAACCCCAUCCAGCCGUUGAAACUGGGGAUCUAGAGUGUGCGAGAGGUAUGCGGAAUGCGUGGUGUAGCGGUGAAAUGCGUAGAUAUUAGGAGGAACACCAGUGGCGAAGGCGGCUUGCUGGACAGUAACUGACGUUGAGGCUCGAAAGCGUGGGGAGCAAACAGGAUUAGAUACCCUUGUAGUC
RNAcentral lists this ribosomal RNA (458 nucleotides) under uncultured bacterium. RNAcentral describes it as "partial 16S ribosomal RNA". It matches the Rfam family "Bacterial small subunit ribosomal RNA", at positions 338 to 795 of the family's 1533-position model. The record is from RNAcentral.